AGACAGUAGCAGCCGCGGUGACUGGCGGCCUCCUGGGUCUCCCUAAAUUCUGAGCUUGCCUUCACAUCUGAGGCCCCACUGCCUACAAACUGAAAAUGAAAUCUGCCAAAACGGGUUGGGGAGCUGCCACUCCUGAACAUAGCUCGUCCCAGUCCCUUCUAGGCAUGAGGUCCCUCCACACCUGGGGGAGACCCUCCCCCAAUCUCCCAAUGCCACCUUCUUUGCCCCUCCAGUGUCAGGUUGAAGCUCUGGGAAUGAACGUUUGAAGUUCUAAACAGGAUUUCUUCCCAAGUCCUCAGUCACUCAACGGCAAACUAUGAAGUGUCCCCAGCCUGUGAGGCUCCUCCUGCAGCCAAAACUGGGAGGGGGCACUGAGUCUGGGCCCAGGCUUUCUUCCAAGGCUAGGACACUCGGGCCCUUCCGUGGCUCUCCCAGUGCAGCCCUGGGCUCAGCACUGCCCUCCCAAUGUCCCGGAAGGAGGCCGCUGUGGCCCUGGCUCCGAGGCCCAGGCCCAAUCCAUCUUCCCAGCCAGUGACUCGCUCUGACAACAGGGCCGAGCUGCCGUGGCAUUUGCCUCUGAUCUCCGCUGGCCAGGCAUUUGUCAGGCAGCCUGCUAGGAAUGAAGAAUGGGCGCUUGGUGAGGCACAGAUUACCCGCCCCAGAGGCCCCUGAUGAAUUGCAGUUCAGAGCUCAGCUGCCUGGGGCCAUGGAUCAACAGGGAGGCGACUAAUCUCCCCCACAGCAGCCCUGCCGAGCAGAGCGGAGGGAGGGUGGAAGCCUGGAGAGUCUGGGAGGAGACGCUACACCACCCCCUGCCCUGGGCCUUUCUUCAGCACAACACCCCUCACGCCCUCCACUCCCACCCGUCUGUCCAGGGAGCCCACUUCCUUCACUAGACGCAGCGCCAGUGGAGACGCUCAGUUCUUUGGGGGCACCCCUUCCUUGCUCCCUGUACAAGAGAGAGAGUUCGGAAUUGCUGGGGGGGUGGGGUGGAGAUUUCUCCUGAUGCCCCAAAGCAUUUAGAAAAACUGGAGGCCCAUGCCAGGGGCACCCUCACCCUGGACAGGAGAUCAGCCUGUAGGAGCUAGCGAUCGGCCUGUCUGAGGCUCUUCUUCCUCUGAUGGGGAAGUCCAGGCCACCCAGCCAGGAAGUGCCUGCCAGAACCCAGCAGAAGCCCUCCUGCCCCCAUGCCCACAGGGCUCUUUCUCUGGAGCUGCUCAGAGGCUGGAUGGGUUUGGAUGGUGGACCCUUUAGCAAGGGAUAGGUGUGGGACUGGCUGCUGGCUCACAGGCUAAUUCUCCUGGCCCUCCCUGGGCUUCCUACCCAGCUCUUCCUGUUCAUGGGUGCUGUGAGGAAGGCCAGGACUCAGCGGACUUAGCAGAGACCCUGCAACCCCAUUGCCCAAGGCCAGCACUUCUGGGCCUGGGGGCUCUGGAAGUGCUCUCCCAGGGGCUGGCAGGGC
This 1462-nucleotide long non-coding RNA is filed under the name Homo sapiens (human). RNAcentral's name for it is "non-protein coding lnc-IL10RA-5:1". The record is from RNAcentral. Lineage: Eukaryota; Metazoa; Chordata; Mammalia; Primates; Hominidae.